RNAcentral lists this long non-coding RNA (1320 nucleotides) under Solanum tuberosum (potato). RNAcentral's name for it is "long non-coding RNA (STUB_LNC010227)". The record is from RNAcentral. Lineage: Eukaryota; Viridiplantae; Streptophyta; Magnoliopsida; Solanales; Solanaceae.
CCAAAUUAAGGAUCCUGGAUAUUUAUGACUGCCCACAGUUAGAAGAAAGUUGCACCAAUAGGAGAAGCCCAAACUCCCAGUGGUCCAACAUUUCCCAUAUUCCAAAAAUUAUAGUAGGUCUGUGGGUAAUUCAGGAGUCAGGACAGUAAGUCUCUGUUACUCUUUCAGUUUCUGAGUUUUAAUACUACUUUUUUUACUGCUAUCAAUUACAUCUGUGCUAUGCUUCCAGCAUUUUGCUUGUCAACUUGAACCGAAUUGUUCUUCUUCUAAUUCUUCAAGUAUGUCAUAUCUCCAUAUGAUUUAAUCAUGAAUGAAAAAUUAUGGAUUUUUUCCUUAUAGGUUACUAGCUCCAAGGUAACGUUGCUGUGGUAAAUCAAGCCAAAUCCUAUGAGCAGCAGGCAAUUACUUUAGGUAAAUUUUCAUUUAGGUAAUCUACUAGUUUUUUGUCUUUCUCUUUGUUGGGGACCAAUUUUUGGAGUUCUAUGCUGAUGAAUACAACAUUACCUUCCUAAAAAAGAUGUUUUAAUCAUGAAAAUUUAUGUUUCUGCUCAGAGGUUACUAGGUACAAGGUCAUGGUAGAACGUGGUUGUGGUAUAUCAAGUCAAAAUCCAUGAACAGCAAUCGCCUUAGGUAUUUUUAUUUAGUUGUUAUAGGAAUGCUAUAACAAGUUUGUCAAGUUCCUUUUUUCUCAUGAUACUACUUUACUGUUUAACAGGAUUUGUUAUGUUUCAUAGAGGAAUCACCACUGUUAUUUUGAAGAACACAAUCUUCAGCUAUAGACUCAUUACGGAGCACUUUUUCACAAGUAUUUGGGUACUGAACAACCUUUUCGGGAACUGAAGUCUACAUAUGAAACAUCAAAAAACUCAAAGUGUAUAGGGUCCUCAAUGAGAAGCUACACUGGUCUAUCCUCUGUCUUUGCAUGGCCGUGUUUGUCUUUUUAUUAUCCAUGUAAGUUUCUGCAAUGUUAUUUGAUGAAUAAAUUCUGAUAUCUACUCUCAUUGGGACAUUGGUAUUUAACUUUCUAUGUAAUUGUGGAACUAUUAGAAUGUAAGCUGUUUUAUCCCUUUUGCCAGAGCUUCAUUCUUCAUAAAUUCAGUGUUUUACUUUCUCACAGUAUUAAUGUCUGACCCUCCCCUCUCCCAACCGGUACGAAAUAAGAAAAAUCUCAGUAUUUGUCAUACCUAUUCAGGUGCUAUGAUGAAGAUGACAGAAGCAAUGGAUGGUUGGUGCCAUUGAAAUCUGUUUGUGAGGUAUUCAUGACUUGCAGCUCAAUUGAUUGUAUCCAUGGAGGUUGUUGUGGUUUAAAUGCACUAUUAA